GCUGUGGCCCGGAGAGUGGCUAGAUCAAAAUAAACCAAGUGGAGAAAGCAGUCACUAUACCAGACUGCAAUAGAAGGAGAGACAGACAGAGAAAGAGCCACACCACCUAAGACAAAGCGCCUAGGCCACCCACUCAGAACAUUAAGGACUUAUACCUUGUAAGAACAGAGAAACACAUCUAUCCAGACAUGGAUAUCCAGACCGGCCAGGUGACGCACCAGCCCAGCCCCAGGGAGAGCCUGGAGAGCCAGCUGAGCUGCCCCAUCUGCCUGGAGAUGUUCCAGAAGCCCGUAGUCAUCCUGCCCUGCCAACACAACCUGUGCCGCGGCUGCGCCAGCGACCUCUACGACUCCCGCAACCCUUACCACUACUCCGGGGGCAUCUUCCGCUGCCCCACCUGCCGCUUCGAGGUCGUCCUGGACCGCCACGGCGUCUACGGCCUACAGAGGAACCUGCUAGUGGAGAACAUCAUUGAUAUCUACAAGCAGCAGCCGGAGAGCGGCGGCGGAGAAGUAGGAAGUAACGUUGCAGACCCACCGCUGAAGGACAAAGACACCAAGGAGCCCAUGUGUACGGAGCACGAGGACGAGCGCAUUAAUAUUUACUGUGUGACCUGCCAGACGCCCACCUGCUCCAUGUGCAAAGUGUUCGGCCAGCACAAGGACUGUGAGGUGUCACCCCUGCAGAGCAUCUACGAUACCCAGAAGGCCGAGCUGCGGAACGCCGUAGAUCUCCUUGCAGCGGGUAACAGCUGUGUCCAGGCCGUGAUGGCUCAGAUGGAGGACACAUGCAAGAGCAUCGAGGAGAACAGCCAGCUUCAGAAGAGACGUCUGGGGGAGAGCUUCGACUUGCUCUAUGCCAUCCUGGAGGAACGUAAGGGCCAGCUCCUGGAAAAGAUCACCCAGGAGGAGGAGAGGAAGCUGGGGUUGCUGAGGUCCCUGGUGGAGAGGUACACGGAGCAGCUCCAGGCUAGUAUCAACCUAAAGGAGAAGGCGGCCCAGACCAUGGAGAAGGGCAAUGCAGCCGAGUUCUGAUUAGUGGGAAGGAGCUGAUUGCACAGGCCAAAGAGGCAGCUAAAGGCGCCAACUUAGAGAGGCCAGAGCCUGGGUUCGAGAACAUGGAGCACCUUACACUGUGCACAGAAGAAGUGGAGGUCAUCUUGUACCAAAUGGGCUUUGGACUGGGGGAUGAUGAUGAUGUGGUGACAGAGGAAGAAGAAGGGGAGGAGGAAGAAGAAGAGGAGGAAGAAGAGGAGGAAUAGUAAAACUCUAACUCAAGACUGUAUUAGAAGUACUGUAUUAUUGCAGUUGAGGAGAGGUUUGGGCUAAGAGAUAAGGAUUGGUUUGAUGAACAAGCUGCUUUUUAGAAAGAGUAACUAGUUAUUUAUCAACUAGUUAUAACUAGGAUAUUCACUGUGGUGAAUACACAAUUUAGAGCCAAGGUGGAAAGUGCAAUUCUGAAAAGUAGUUUUUUUUUCACUAACAAAAUGCAACAUUUUGUUUAGACUUUUUCUUUUUUUUAUACUUUUGUAUUUCUACGUUUAUACGGUACUGUGUUUUGAUAUCUACUGAAAUAGAUCUCAUGGAAAUAACUAUGUUUACACUUGAACUCUUUUCACAUAAUGUACAUUGCUCAAGUCUAGACUAGAUUGAAAAAAAUAAUCAAAAAUAUAGCAAAGCAUUAUUCAUGUUGUGUAUAAUAUAUCGUUGUCUGUCAAACUAUUGAAAACUUGAAUUGCUGCAAAAUGCACUUAAUUCACUUGGUGUUGUUUUUUAACACAACUGUAAUUUUUCUAAUGUAAUUGACAGUUUAAAGAAAUAAAGUGUUGUGGAAAUA
Molecule: RNA transcript, 1836 nt
Organism: Oncorhynchus keta (chum salmon)
Lineage: Eukaryota; Metazoa; Chordata; Actinopteri; Salmoniformes; Salmonidae
Gene name: E3 ubiquitin-protein ligase TRIM63-like
Exons: 1
Source: RefSeq, a predicted model, not a curated record